GAAUAAGCUUGGUUGGGUUGUUGCUGGCUCUUAGGGGCAUGUGCACGCCUAACACCAAUCUUCUUACCACCUGUGCACCUUUUGUAGACUUGGAUAUCUCUCGAGGAAACUCGGUAUGAGGACUGCUGUGCGUCAAAGCCGGCUUUCCUUACAUUUCCGGUCUAUGUCUUCAUAUACACCAUUUGCAUGUCUACGAAUGUUAUUAUCGGACUUGACUGUCCAAUAAACCUUAUACAACUUUCAACAACGGAUCUCUUGGCUCU
Molecule: unclassified non-coding RNA, 263 nt
Filed under: rhizosphere metagenome
Description: partial ribosomal RNA internal transcribed spacer region
Source: RNAcentral